AACGUAGGUCCCGAGCGUUAUCCGGAUUUACUGGGCGUAAAGGGCGUUCAGGCGGUGGGCUAAGUCAGGCAUGAAAUCUCUCGGCUCAACCGGGAGAGGCUGUCUGAGACUGGCCCACUUGAGGGCAGUCGAGGGUGGUGGAAUUCCGGGUGUAGUGGUGAAAUGCGUAGAGAUCCGGAGGAACACCAGUGGCGAAAGCGGCCACCUGGGCUGUACCUGACGCUGACACGCGAAAGCUAGGGGAGCGAACGGG
RNAcentral lists this ribosomal RNA (253 nucleotides) under uncultured bacterium. Its description in RNAcentral is "partial 16S ribosomal RNA". It matches the Rfam family "Bacterial small subunit ribosomal RNA", at positions 524 to 776 of the family's 1533-position model. The record is from RNAcentral.